CUGCCCUGUACAGGAGGAUAGCUCCCCCGAAAAGGGGGAAGUUUAAACACUCCAUAAUAUUGAGAGGUGGCAUCACCAUUCAAUUAAAAUUACGAUGGUACAGGAUGAGCAUGCGUCUGAUUAGCUAGUUGGUAGUGUAAAGGCCUACCAAGGCGACGAUCUGUAGCUGGUCUGAGAGGACGACCAGCCACACUGGGACUGAGACACGGCCCAG
RNAcentral lists this ribosomal RNA (214 nucleotides) under uncultured bacterium. RNAcentral's name for it is "partial 16S ribosomal RNA". It matches the Rfam family "Bacterial small subunit ribosomal RNA", at positions 126 to 334 of the family's 1533-position model. The record is from RNAcentral.